UUGCCAUACUCCUACGGGAGGCAGCAGUGGGGGAUAUUGCACAAUGGGUGAAACCCUGAUGCAGCGACGCCGCUUGGGCGAAGAAGUAUUUCGGUAUGUAAAGCCCUAUCAGCAGGGAAGAAGAAAUGACGGUACCUGAGUAAGAAGCACCGGCUAAAUACGUGCCAGCAGCCGCGGUAAUACGUAUGGUGCAAGCGUUAUCCGGAUUUACUGGGUGUAAAUGGAGCGCAGGCGGCACGGCAAGCCUGAUGUGAAAGCCCGAGGCCCAAACGAGGGACUGCAUUGGGAACUACCGGGAUGGAGUGCCGGAGAGGUAGGCGGAAUUACUAGUGUAGAGGUGAAAUGAGUAGAUAUUAGGAGGAACACCAGUGGAGAAGGCGGACUAAUGGAAGGUGACUGAAGAUGAGGAUAGAAAGAGUGGGGAGCAAAAAGGAUUAGAUACACGAGUA
Molecule: ribosomal RNA, 449 nt
Filed under: uncultured bacterium
Lineage: Bacteria
Description: partial 16S ribosomal RNA
Rfam family: Bacterial small subunit ribosomal RNA
Source: RNAcentral